Molecule: long non-coding RNA, 358 nt
Organism: Capsicum annuum
Lineage: Eukaryota; Viridiplantae; Streptophyta; Magnoliopsida; Solanales; Solanaceae
Exons: 2
Source: RefSeq, a predicted model, not a curated record
GGUAAAAACUAAUAAAAAUGCAAAAUUUCUUGAUCUCUUCAACCCCCUGAAGGGUGCAAAGUUGGGUGGAUGUGAUUACUUUGAUUGGUAUGAAGAACGACCCCCUUCACAAGCAAAUCAUGUAAUAUGGGGUUUGUUAAAGAAAGUUAAGGCUUUUGAAGAGAAAUAAAAUCGAGCAAGAAGAUACUACAUUGUUGGCGUUAUUGCUACUAGAUUGGUGUUGUUGGACACAUGGAUAUUCAAGACUAAUUACUGAAAUUUUCAUGCUGGUGUAUUUGUAUUUGUUACUGCUUUGGUGUUGUUGAGCACAUGGAUACUCAAGCGUAAAUGUUGGAAAAAUAUCAAAUAGAUUUAGACA